Molecule: long non-coding RNA, 29886 nt
Filed under: Coffea arabica (coffee)
Lineage: Eukaryota; Viridiplantae; Streptophyta; Magnoliopsida; Gentianales; Rubiaceae
Description: long non-coding RNA (CARA_LNC006202)
Source: RNAcentral
ACGCAAUUUAUAAUUUUUAGCAGCAAUACUAAAUUUUAAUUUUGAAAUGCUAGCCUGGCUUGUCAUCGAUUCUUCACUAACAUGAAACUUGAUUUCAAUUUCACGUUCAGAAUGAUACAAAUUCUUUCCUGCUAAAUUUAUGUUGCAGGGUUUCGAUGGGAUCGACAGUGGUUGGUAGUGAAUUCCAAAGGCAGGGCUUAUACACAGAGACUAGAACCAAAGCUUGCUUUAGUUGAAGUAGAACUGCCAAAUGAAGCAUUCUCUGAUGGUUGGGUUCCAAAUAACAGCUCAUACAUGGGUAAAAGCUCGGACUUCUACAAUAAAAUUCAAAUUUAUUCUCCAGUUUUUAGAUAUUUACCUUCUUGUUUUGUCAUUUGAUCAAUAACAACCUACUACAGGAUUGAAAUUUUCCCCCUUGACUUGACUUUUCAUGUCAAGCUGCAUAUCUUAGGCAUUAUUAACACAAUAAGAUAAAAGAAUUUAGAUAAAGAACUGGCAGAAGAGUUGAGAACUAGUAGAUUAAUUGCGAAAUUAUGAGCGUACUUUCCCUGUUGCCUAUUCGUCCUUUUCUUUUUCUUUUUCUUUUUUUUUUUCCGGCGGGGGGGGGGUGGUUGGUUGUCUCCAGAGGUUGGGGUUGAUGGAGAGAUUGGAGUUUGUUCCUAUACUUUAUGAUUGCAAUAUACCUGUAAUCUUUGGUGACUAUUGGAUAUGCCAUAAACAUUGAUAAGAUGUGCAUGUAACUUUUUGUUCCUUUCCCUGACCACCGAGGUAGGGGAACUUUUCCCUGGUUCUAUGAUUACAUUAUGCAUGUUCUUUUUCUGACUAAUGGAUGAUACAUAAUGUCACAGUGAUAAGAGCUCCUGGCAUGGAUCCACUGAAGGUUUCCUUAUCUAAACCCUCUGCAACAGCUGAUGGUGUCUCAGUCUGGGAGUGGUCUGGCUCUGCAUUUGAUGAGGGAGAUGGUGCAUCAAAAUGGUUCUCCAGAUAUCUUGGAAAGCCAAGUAGAUUAGUUCGUUUUAAUGAAGGUAGCGAUCAAUCUUUAUAUUCUACAGAAAUUCUGGUUUUAUGUCUAGCAAUAAAAAAUCUGCCGCUUGAUAUUAUGGUUGUCUUCACCUCAUGAAUGCAAAUUCAUGUUUGUGAUAUUUACCUGCUUAUUUUCUUGAAAGGUCACUAGGCAUGUUCCGAAGCAUUUCGAAAGCACGUUGUUGAGAGUUGUAGCUUUUUUUUUUUUUGCCCCUUUUAUAAAUUAAGAACUGUACUCUUUUGUUGGUUGGCUACAUUUCACAGAAACUUGGCUUGAAAUAAACUUCUCUUGAUCUUUUUAAUUGUUAGUCUUCAAUUUUUUCUUUUUGGUUUUUGAACUUUUUGAUUGAACCAUUGGCUUCUCUAACUUCAAGGAUGACUUGUCUGUACUACUAAGUUUGAGAUUCUUAGUCAUAUAUGGAUCUCUCUGAUAGUCUGUUUACUUAACAAUUGAUGCCUAGAGAUCCUUACUACUCCGUUUGACAAGAAUUGAAGUUUCAAAGUAAAUUGAGUUGCAGUCGUAAGUUGAGGCUAUAAGGCUAGGAUCUCCAAGGCUUUCAUGUUAUGCUUUACUGACAGAUUUAUUCAAUUAGCAGGAAAUUGACUGUCCAUAUAUCAAUACUUGGUAAUGUCCCUGAAUUUCCACAAUUGCUAACAUGUUGAAAUACAGGGUAGUUUGAUUGCCUGUUGACAGUUAUUGGCAAUUAGAGGAUUUGACUUAGUUGGAUGUCCUUGUUGAUGACUUAGAAUCCAAAUAUGCAACUGUUUUUCUUUGCAUCUAAAAAUUUGACGUGCAGUCCAUGCUGCACCUAAAGCAGAAUGACUAGGCUGUUUAUUUAAAAGAAAAAAAUAAAUAAAAUAUAGAGGGAUAGGAGGAUAAUGAUUUUGUGUGCUGUUUGUGGUGCAGCGUCAAACAAGGAAUGUCGACCCUAACUAUGCUCCUGGAUACAAAGUCAUUUCUCUGACCAGUAUCCCUUCCUCCUUGCAUCCCAGGUUAAUUAAAUUUGAAUUACAGUGGCAUUGUCCUAUCAGAUGGCUUCCAGAUGUUGAUAAUUCCCAAUAUGCCUUUUGCAGGGAUCAUUAGAAGCCUUGAAUAAACUUCUCAAGGAACCAAUACCAAUUAAUCGUUUUAGGCCCAAGUAAGUAUAGAAAGUUCUCCUUUUCAUAGUUUUGAUCAUUCCUCACUGCAUAUCUAACACUUCUGCGUAUAAUAGCUACACUCAAUUUUUGCAGUGCUCAGACCAAACAUAUUUGGUCUUUUAAAAUCCUUACAGGUGUUUGCUUCUCCUGAAAUGGGCAGAGAUUCUUGUUUAUUCUUUCUUUAAAAAAUGUUCUUUUCUUGAACUAAAGAUAUUAAAAUUUGCACAACGGCAGUAUUCUUGUUGAUGGAUGUGAACCAUUUGCCGAGGACUUGUGGAAGGAGAUCAGGAUCCAGAAGUUAACAUUCAAUGGUGUCAAAUUAUGCUCUCGCUGUAAGGUAAUAUCCUAUCCCUUAUCUUUUGGCUGAACUAUUUUCAUUCACCUUGCUUCUUUAGAAUCCAAUUGUUGAGCGGAGAGAUCCUGGCUUUCAGUGUGCAGGAAUUUAUUGGUCAUCUUGUUGCCUAGAUAUUUUAUUGCUAACAGAAAUAUGGCCGUCUUAUCAACUGGAAGAACAGUGCUUGGUUUGUAGUUGAGUGUCGUAAAAUGCUAAGUAGCUCCUGAAUAUGUGAAUUUGUGGCUGACCGUCAAUGUCACAAAGCAUUAAAUAUGAAUACUAGUGUACUAAAAAUUUUUGUAGGUUGCAAUAGGUUCUGAGUCUACCGUGCACAUUUAUUUAUAUACACUCGUAGACUCCAAGAGCCAAAGGAAAACUUGUCCAACUUGGUCUGCUACCUGAAAGGAAAUUGAUAUUUUGUCAUUAUGUGAGUUUUCGAGUAUAUAAAUAAGACUCUUAAGAACCGAAGUAGAACUUUGCUGGUCUGUUAGGAAUUUUGAAGCUAAAUAGCUCGAGAGCUAAUCAAAACUACAGUAAAAAGUUCAUACUCUAAGCUGUGUAAUGUUUUUCUGAGCUUGAGAAAGGUUGUAAUCUCAUACGCAGGAACCGUUUAAGAUAACCUGCUAUUGGAUUUCUUUUUUCAACGUUCAUAAUUAACCAGACAUAACCAAAUGUUUUUAUUCCUUGCCUUUCGCCCUUAUUUCAUCAUGAGCUUCAUUUUGGGCCAAACUUGCACUGGUGGACAUAAACCUCAAUAAACACGCAGUGCUAUAACAUGCUGAAAUCACAAAACUCGUAUAUUAUACUUACUGGGGUAGAAAGACAGUUGCUGUUCUUGUGCUUCCAGCAGUUGGAUUCUCAGUCUGAUGUACAUGACCAGUCAGCUCAAAAGCCACAAGUCUUUCGUGUCUUAGAUGAUCUUAACAUCUGUAAUGUUGACUCGAAUCUUUCGCGUCCAAACCGUGGGAUUUUAGAUGGUUGUUUGGUAGACUGUGUGUAUUGAAUGCAAUUGGAAUUAUUAGUUCAGGCGUGCAUGUGUUGAUGUGUUAUAGUACUUCUCAUCAAUCUAUAGUUGAAGACUUUAAUGUUCUAUGCUACUUGUCUCUUUCAGGUACCCACAAUUAAUCAAGAAACUGCAAUUGCAAACUCCGAGCCAACUGAGACUCUGAAGAAGUUCCGUUCGGAUAAAGUACUGCGCAAGAAACCGCAGGGCACCAAGGUAAAUCAGGGGAACUUGGACUAUAACUUAGAAUAUAAUUCUAUCAGCAUAAUUACGUAUUGAGGGUGUGAGCAUUUGAAUCUGCAGGUGUAUUUUGGACAGAACAUGGUAUGCUCCGACUCUCAAAUUCCAGGAAAGGGAAAGAUGAUAACGGUGGGAGAUCCUGUCUAUGUUCUCAAGGCGUUCUCUUCUGCAGCUGAUGCUGAAGCUUGAAUGCUCUUGCAGUCUUCCCAUUUGCCAGUAAUCUGUUGUGUGGGAAACAAAAGAACCAAAUAAAUAAGUUGCCACAGGGCAUUUUCUUCGCCUUUGUGAAUCAUUUCCCCCGUUGCAUGCCAUGGCAUGGUUUGCUCGGCAAAAUUACAGAGGGAAUUGUAUGCAAACAAAUAAAAUUCCCGUGCUCUUGCCUUUAAGCAAAGCCGUCCAAGUAAUCUGAGAUAUUUUUAAAAACAUUUUAUACGGUAAUUACUAUAUCAAGCUUUUCUUUAAAACUAUCUAUAAUUAGUGGCACAAGACUAAUAAACACUUGGUGAGGGCUACCACUUAAAAUGUACAAGAAGAAAAAGUUUAAAACCUGCUGCUCAUUUUUAUAUUUAUAAUGAUAAGGGUCAAAUUCGGGCCAAAACAGACUGAUCUGAUUAUUGAUUGAUACCUGUUCUGAAGAUCAAAGGCUCACGUGCUAGAUUUUGGAAACCACAGAGCACAAUUUGUGGAAUCCUCCUCCUUUCCAUUUUUUUUUUAUAUGAUAGUAAUACCAGUGGAUGAACCAAGCUGCAGUUAGAAAUCUGCCCAAUCACUCAAAAAAAAAAUUGACAGAAGACAAAUUUAAAUCAAAAUUCUGUCACCGGCGAGUAGUAUAAUCUAGUUGCUGGCAAAAUCUCAAAAUCCUUGACCAUUAAGAUAAGCAACACUCGUACAACUAAACAAAGUAAUGUGAACUAAAACAAAACAAUUCUGAGCAACCACUGCUUGAAGCAAACAUGCUCUAGCUCACAGGUCCUGCACGCUCAAACCUGCAAUAAUUGAAAGAGAACGAACGUAAGUGUCCAGGAAAGAUGAUAAAACAAUCUCAACUACACCACAAGUAUCAGACAUAAUGCACAGAGCUCUUGCAACCUAUUAUUUGAUCUGUCAAGGGCAAGGCAACUCAACCAUAAAUUACAGCCACUAGCCAAUUUCCUGUCUAUUCAUAUUUUGGCUUUCAUUCAUACAUCAUUAAGAAUCUGAGCCAGAAUACCCAGCUUAAGGUUUCAAAAUCAAGAAAUCACUUCAAACUCAGAAACAAAGACAUAAAGCUAAAUAAUGAAAUAUACUAGUUUAACAAUGGAAAGCAAAUAAGGUUUAGAAGCACGAGUCAAAUCACUACAAAAUCCAACUUAGACAAAGUCUACUCAAUCUAUGAGACUUCCACAUCAUUAUCAACAAUAGCAAAAUGAAGCUAGAGAUAAAAAGCACAAAAAAACGAGCUUAUACUUUAUAUUCUGAUUGAUACUAUGUUACACUACAUAAUUAUGGUAGUGAAUGGUUUUGAGAAAAUACUACAGCAUGAAUAUUGCAGUACUUGGAGAAAAAGCAGUCAUCACAAACCUGGGGGAAGUGAUUGCUUCAACUUGUCAGCCUUCUCGGAGUCGAAGACGCAGAGUGUGUACAGAUACUUAGAGCAGCGAACCUUGAACUUCACCACAUCUUUGCUCCUCUUUAUCUUCACGGAACGCGCAUCCUUCCUUCUAGCAGUGAGAAGAAAAUCCUUAAUCUCGUGUAUUUGCUUCGGCUAUGAUCAAGACGGAAAGCAGUUAGUGACAUCCACAAGAAAAAACAUUGGCAGCUAAAGUUUUACUGUAAAAGUAGAUACUAUUGCAAAAUAAUGAAUUAAGUAGUAAUUCCGCCGAAAAACAAUUCUCGCAAAUCAGUUUUUCAGCCUAAGUGUCUCUUUAUCAGAUUUCAACUUCUAAGGCUUUCCUCUUCCCUAUAUAGAAACAUAGCGAAUUUAUCAAAAAAUAGCACCAUUUGUGAACUAGAUAACAGUCUUGCAAUAACAUCAGGACAAUAGUAUAUGAGCUCUGAUGACAAAGUCAAUCCAAGCAUAAUGAGUCCACGAUGGUUCAAAUUCAAAAAGAAAACUUUCACCAACUGAAUUGUAUAACAUAGCUAGAUAUUCAGCUAUCGCUCAAUCUCAUUACAGUUACCAAAUUUAAGCAGAACUUCAAAACAAAUUCUACAUAAAAGUAAGUGUGCAUAUGAUCUCAACGCUAAUAGGGGAAAUUUUAUAUAAAUUGAGCCCAGGAAGCUAUGAAAAGGGGAAAUGACAACAGAAAAACGGUAAUAACCGCAACAUAAUUACGUAUAUUCAUAUAUCCACUCCAACCAAUAGUCAUCGUUCACACAAAUCAAACGUUGCAUUACAUAUCCUUAAAAUCAAAGUAAAAUAAAAUACAAAAAGGAAGAAAGAUCCUAAGCCCGAAAUGGAAAAAAAAAAUGAAUCGAUAAUCCCCUAACCUCAAGUAUAUAGUAGAAGACAAACAAAUGCUAGUUCUUCCACGAAUAAGAAUUAACCAAAAAUAAAAAGGAAAAAAAUGCAAAGAAGAUGACUACAAAUGGCGCAUUAACUCGAAACUCAUACAGAAAUAUGGCAAAGAGAAACCAAAUUUAAAUGGUAAAUCGGAAGAAAUUUGAAGGGGAGAUAGAGAUAGAGAUAGAGUACCAUGUUUAGCGACGAUGAAGAGCAAAGUAAAGCAGCUGCUGCGGCGGCUCCUCCUCCAGCACCAGAGCAAUGGUUUAUAUAACACUCUCGGCGCACAUAAAACCUAGGAUUUUGUUUUCCGAAGUUUCUUUUCCCAAAUUUUACCCCUAACCUCAUGAUAUUUAUCCUUAAGUCCCUCCCUUAAAGUCCCUUUUAGGGGUGGCAAUUUUCGACAGAUCUGAAAAUCCGACACGAACCUAACACGAAAUUAAUAGAUUGGGAUUUAGAUUUGAUAAAAUCGGUCAGAAUCGAGUCAAACCUGACAAAUUCAAAAAAAAACAUGUCAAAAUCGGGUUAAAAACGGGUUGACCCGUCAACCCGAUUUUAAAAUAAAUAAAUAAAUAAAUAAAUAAAUAUUAAAAAAGUAUCUAAAAACUUAAUAGUAAAUAACUAAAUAUAAUAUACCAAUUAUCACUUAUCACUACGCAGAAGCAGAAAUCACGCCGGCCCUAAAUCUUUCUUUUCCUUUUCAACUUUUCUCUUCCAAAAAUCUAAACUCAACUUUUUUCCUCCAAAAAUCUAAACGCAAAACCAGAUUUAGAUCUAGAUCUGACUGAUGAUGACACUGAUGCACACAGGACUGAUUUGAUGACCAUAACCAGUUUGUAUUGAACGAGCAGUCCAACUGUCCAAGCACGCAAAAUCUCGCGGGGAUUUCACUAUCUUGCCUCAAUCACAUUGUUUUGGGUUGCAAGUUCAUUUGUUCUACUAUCAACAAGGUCCCUCCGUUAGAGUUCUUUACUUCUUUUCUUUUCUUGAGCUUUUUCCCUCUUUUCUAAAAACAGAGGCAGAAAGAUGAAAUCUUGUGUUUUGUCACUUAUAUUUUAACUACAUUUAUAAAACCGCUUCCACUUUUUCUCUCUUUCUCUAACACAUACACACACACCAAAAAGUCUCUUGGCGUAAAAUGUUCACCGAAAAUCAAUUACCGGCCUUUCCAACCUCAGAAAAACAUUUAUUACGAUUUUCUUGGGCAGAGAAAUGUCAUUCGAUGAAUUAAAUUUCAGGUCGUUUCGGUCAACCCGCUUGACCCGCCAAUCUGAAACUUUCGAGUUCGGCAUCAGCAUGCCUGACCCGUCACGGGUUGACGGCGUCAAGUUCGAUUCAACAGAUUUUUCUGACGGAUUGCGGUCAAAACCCGACCCAUCAACAUGAUUUGAACCCGAUUGCCCAUCCCUACUCCCUUUGUCCCUUUCUUUGGCCUUCUAAUUUUUUCUGGAGUUUUGAGGAGAAAAUUAGAAAAUAGUUUAGUAUUGCUUCUAAUUGUAAUAUAGACACAAAUAGGGAAAAUUUUUUAUAAGAUAAUCUCUUCUUUUUUUUUUGAGUUAGCGUCCUGUUUGAUAACUCAAUUCAGUACGUAAUUUAAUGAAUUCAGAUUGUUUGAUAAUAAAAAAUUGAACAUCUAAAAUUAAUUAAAUGUCAUUAAAUUUUCAAAGCAAAACUUGCUCUCAAAAUUAAGCGAUAAAUUAUUCACUUAUCAUUGAAUGUGAUAUGCAUUCAAAUAUAUUAAAUUUAAUAUUUAACAAUUCAAUAACUUAAUAAAUUCACACUUCAAAUUUUAAAUUUCAAUUAUUAGAUUUCAAUUUUAUCAAACGUACCCUUAGUAUUAUUUUGCUUAAAUAUUUCAAAAUCUUAAUUGAGUCCUUGAAAUUUUAAAAGGUUUUAUUUUAUCCUUUAAAUCAUUCCAAAUAAUAAAAAUCUCAAUUUGGUCACUUUGAGAGAAAAAGUUUCAAUUUGGACACCAAAGGAAGCCACAAAAUUGUAACUUGGACUCUAAAAGUGAAAAUCUUAAUCGGGUCCUCCACAUUGAGAAAACAUUCCAACAUGGUCCUCUAUAUGUAUUUUGCAUUUGCUAUUAAAACAAGAUACCAACGCCGAAAGAAUUAACUCCAAAAAUAGAAAAAUAUAAGCAAAAGUAAUUCUUGUCCUUCUAUCUAAAAAAAAAUCUUCGUUGGGUUCUUCUUCUUCUCUUCUUUUUUUUUCACACAAUGGUUGAAAAUUAUUUGAACUAAUUCUUUUUUUCUAUAAUUCUUUUUUUUCACAUAAGAUGACAAGUAACUCAUAAUGGUGAGAAUAACAUAAUUAUAAAAUUAACCCUUUUAUGAUGAGAAUUAUAAAUAAAUCAUGUUAGAGAUAGGCGAUAUUAUUGAAAUAAUUUUAAAAAAAAAUACUGUAGCACUUUUUUGAUGUGAUAUUUAUGAGAUAAAAAUGUAAUUAAAAAAUAUAUUUGAUGAUGCAAGCAAGUCAGCGUGUACAAAUAAAGUGUAAAUAAAGUGCAAUCCAAACACAAAGUUGAACCCCUUGGCUUCUAUUAUUAAUAAACUCCAAGCCUUUUGUGCCCUAAAAACUCAAUACAGGUAAAUUCUUUGAUUUAAUUUCAAUACAACAUACCGUUUUAUUAUCGAUGAAACUCAAAAUUGUUUUGUGUUAAAAUCAAAAGAAUUAACAAUAGAUUGGACUCUUAUCAUUGAAUAAAUUAAGCCUCAAAUGCUUUAUGUAACAAGACUAAAAUGGGAUUGCGUUUUGUAUGUAUUUUACUGUUGUAGCUCCAAAUCAAACCAAAAAAUCAGGCGAAAAAAAAAAGUACUGCCACAUCUAAUAUACUAUAUACACCUGCUUGAAUUUUACAUCUAUAGGUUUUAAAACAGCACUGGCAUGGUCCAUGGUUGGAGCAACCAUAUUCGCGUCUAAUCAUAAUGUGAUCACGCUCAAAUUGAAUUUGAAUCAAUUAAUUAGCUUGGCCUGAAUCCUAGUUGGAACUUAGUAAUUAGUUCAAUUAAUCCUUUAACCUUCAACCAAUUAGAAACUACAUACUCUAAGUUCAAAAACCUUAAUUCUCGAAAGAGAAAAUGGCCAAAUUUGCUCUACUAAACUUUUUACUAGUGCUGAUUUAGUCUCUAAUUUUAUUUUUGGCCAAUUUGAUACGUCGAAUAUAUGUUGUGAUUCUAAUUAAGGACUCUCUAAGGCGGUAACACCACGUAAAAGUACUCGAUUGGGAACUUCAAGUAUGGAUGUUAAUAAAACCAAGUAAAUCAGAAAAAAAAAAAAUCAUUAGUUUUUUGGGGUAUUUUAAUAUUUAAAACUUUUUGAGGUAUUUUUAAAAUUUUUAUUUUAAUUUCUUUCCUUUUCUCCUACCUUAUCUCUUCCUCGUCCCUACUCCCUACCAUUGUCUCCAGACUCACCACUCUCCUCUCUGCCAUAGGCACUACCGCCCACCUAUUUCCUCUCCUCUUUGUCUACUAUUCUCUCUCCUACCCUUUUGCUAAUGCUGCAUCUCUUGAUCUCGUCCCAUCAAAGAAAAGUCUAAAAGAUGAAAAAUCAAAGUUCCCAAAAUUAAAGGAAGAAAGAAAAGCUUUUAAAACCAGAUCUUGCAAAAAUCCCAGAUUAAAGGAAGAGAAAAGCUUUCCAUUCGAUCUUAUUUCAUAGGAUAGGAUUUCUAUUCCAAAAACUAGAUCUUACAAUUCAAAUAAUUUAAAAGGUGACUGCAUAAGAACAUUUUGAAAGACCCAAGUUCAAUAUUAGAAGUCUUUGCUUUUUUCCUUUGUUCGUUAAACUCCUUCUCAAUCUCAAUGCAUUGGGAUUUGUUGUCCACAUAAUAUACUGCCAGUUAUCUUUCUUAUUGCUAGAUUUCUUGAAUUCGAUCAAGAUGUAUCAUUUCCUCAGGCAAUUGUCCUUCAAAAGAAAAUUUUACUACUACUGCACUUCGUUUCUCAUGUCCCAAGGGAGAGGUGGUGGUAGCAAUGGAGUUUGGCAGUGGAGGAAGAAAAUAACCAAAAAAUACCAAAAAUAAUCGUGUGUUGUUUGGUCUAUCAGGAACUAAAUCGAUGUUCUGUGUUUGGCGCUGUCGCGGAGGUCCCUAAUUAGAGUCGCAAUAUAAGUCACAUAUCAAAUUGACCAAAAAUAAAAAUUAAGAACUAAAUUAAUCAACACUAGAAAAAAGUUUAGGGAUGAAUCUGGCCAUUUUCCCAUUCUCGAAACUUUAAGGCUCUUAUAAAAACUUGGAUUAAUUUCACUUUGCACCCUUCAAUUAUAUUCAAAUUAUCGUUUUAGACCCUAAAUUUCAAAAUGAGAUAGUUAAUUAGUUCCUAACAUAUAAAAUUUGUCCCACUUAAAUAAAAUCAUUGACUGAAGUACGACAAAUUUUAUACAUAAGUUGGAUGAAUUUAUGAAUUAAUCUUUCCUGUAUUAUUAUUAUAUAUAGUGAUGGAUUUAGAAGCAUGACACAACAUCUCAAUUUGAAUUUGAGCACCAAACUUUGCACAAGUAACACUCACUAGUGUAGGCAUUGACAGUGCAUAAAAGAUUUAUCCAAAAUUUGUACUUUAUGAGCUAAAGUGCGACAUAAUUUAUAUUUUAGAAACGUAUGUUAGAUUUUAUAUUUUUUUUAGAAACCAAAAUAGGACAUAUUUUAUAAUUUAAGAAAUAAAUUAUCAUAUUUCCAAGUUUAUGAACCAAAGUAGAAAUUUAGCCAUUGUUGAAAGUGCAAAGUGGAAUUAGCCCUAAACACUAUUUUUGUUCAUAAUUAAGUUCUGAAAGCACAGGUACUAGCAAAUGUAUUGACAUAAUUAAGCAUCUUACAUAGAUUUAGUUUUGCAUGUGAUGCCCAUUCUUGGUCUGAAUUGUCGAAGAUGUUUUGUUUGCUUUGUGUUAAAGAGUACGCAUUUCUAAUCUAAUUUGUUUCACAUGAUAAGUAUUGCUUCGAGUAAUUGAAAUAGGAUGGAAUUGAUCACAAUUCAACCUGAUUAAUUAUAGUAGCAAAUAAAGUCUAUGCAAUGGUCUCGUGACUUAAACGUAGUAAAAGGACAUAAGAUAAAGAACCUAGUUGUGUACAAGUUUGUUCAUUUCAUCACCAAGAGAUGCUGCUGCUUGUUUGUAGAUGGCCAUGCAAAUUCUUCACUUAUAACUACCUGAGUUUUCUCUGAAGUUACCUUAUGGCACUUAAGAAUUAUGGUUGCUUUUUACCUCAUUUUAAGUAAUGCAAACAUGAUCGGAUUUUGUGAAGCAGUAAGUGACUUUUUUUUUUUUUUUUUUAAAUCAGUUUGGGAAGGAAACAAAAUUUAAAGAAACAAAGAUUGUGUUGCUUUAUAAUAUAUAAACCAAGUUCAAGCCCAAAGAAAAAAAAAAUAACGAAUCAGUAAAUCUAGGCAAUCCCACUCGUAUUGACAUUGGCACUCAAUUCCAGGUUUGCCAAUUUAAAGAAAAUUUCACCCGGUUGAAGCAAAAUUAACCGAAUUCAAAAGCUAAUAAAACCAAAAACACAAAUUUUUUUUUUUUAUUAAAGAAUCAUCUCAAAGAGUUGAAGUCCCAAUCUUGAUCUUAUUAAUCUUAAUUAUUGUUUUAGCAGGAAAACAAGAAUUAGAAAAUCACCUAAAAUAUGCAUGCAAUCGUCUUCUUAACCCUAAAGGGCCUAAACAAUGAUCAUCACGCUCACGCUGCAUAUACACAAUGUGUAUCUACCUGCUCCUUUUGUCUCCAAUUCUUGCAAUCAACUGCUGAUUUUGGUCAUUCAUAAAUACUCUUAAAACAAAAAAAUAUCAUGUCAGCUCAUGCUGCACCUGAAUCACAAACAUUAUCAAGGGUUUUCUUUUGGGAGAUUUUUCAUGCCAAAUUUCCAUUAAACAAAGGGAAUUGAAGAACAAUUUCGAGGCCUUCCAAGACUAGCCAACUCACAUUGAUUAACAAUCAUAAACAAACUUCUUCUGCACAUCAAACAUUCAUGCAUGCAUGCACAUAUAAUUACAGAGUUAACAGGGAAUAUAUUAGCAUUAUAGAUCAGUUGAUCAUCGUCUCCUUGCUUUUUCCUUCUCCUUCCUCUUCGAGAUUGCUUUCUAGUCAUCGCCCUCUUUCUAGUCAGUGGAUGAUUUCUAGCAAGUUUCAUGAUAAUUUUUUUUUGUCAAAUAAAAAAAAGUUCCACCACAAAAUUUCAAGUUCGUUGAAAUAAAAAAAAAAAUGGACAUGAAUUUGCAAUAUUCCGCUUGUUCACUGCAUUUUGUAUCCCUAUUUAGAGCCUAUUUGGGAGUGGUACUUUUGUUUGAAAAAAUAAAGGUACUUUUCAGUAAUAGAAGUAUUUUUGUGGUGUUUGCUGAAUAUUAUUUCAUAAAUUUAUGCAUAUAGUUUUUGGUGUCAAAAGCACUUAGCAAAUGUCCCAAAUCGGUGCUUUUAAAAUAAUUUUUAUGUUUUAAAAAAUAAAACUUAAAUUUUGAUCAUUUUAUCAUAAAUUAUGAACUGAAUAAAGAAAUAAAUACAUUUCCAAAAUUUAAAAUCACACAUUAUCUAACAUAACAAGCAUUUAUCCAAGUUUAUAUCCAAACAACAUAUUUUAUCGGUUGAUUAUCAUAGUAAACAUUUGAUUGGUUAGCCUUGGUAACUUUUAAAAAUUAAUUUUCUAUACACUAACAGUACAUAUAUAUUUUCAGCAUAAGAUGCAGUCUAAAUUUUGAAUUUAAAAUUCAAAUUUGCAUAUAUGUCAUACAUUCAAUUAUGAUAGUGUAUACAUUUUAGUGUAUACAAGGUUAAUUCUAUUUUUACCAAUGUGGUAUGUGUCGUUAUAUGUUAUACAUUCAAUCGUGAUUGUGGUGUGCGUCGUUAUGUGUUAUGCAUUUAACCAUGAUAACGCGUACAUUGUUAAUAUAUUUAAGGUGAACUCUACUUUUAAUGGCUUGCAGAGUCCUGUCCGAAAAUACAAGCGAAAAUAUUCGGGUUGAUAACCUGCGGGGGAUGCUAGUGUACGUGGAACUUCCGGCUGGGGGCUGCUUGGUUUCUAAUAGUCCAGCAAACUUUGUGCUGACCUUUGGGCUUUUAUUGAGCCCACUCUGCAACUCCUUUCCAAUAUGUAGUGUUUUUUAGUGAUGAGAAUGGGGGCAAAUCAAGCAUUGCCGUUUGCGUGCGUCCGAUAUGAUUGUUGUAGUUAUCCUCUCAAUCUCAUUAAAUUUACAUUGAAAUAGUUUUAACCUAGGUUUGAAAUUCAUUUACGUAUUUGAAAUAGUUUUAUAUGGAUAUUAUUUCAAAAAAUUAUGUGGAUAUUAACGUAGUUAAAUACUUAUAUAUGUGUAAUACUAAACAUUUGUAAAAAAUUUGCAAUAGUGACUAUCCCUUUGAAAUUUUCUUGACCACUAACAAGUCUAAUUCCAUGAGUCAGUAUUAGGGGUGGGCGCGGGUCGGGUACCCGUCCCAUUCACCAUUUGGCUGAUCCGACCUGCACCUUGCGGGUCAGCCAUUUUCUGACCCUUACCCGCUCCGAAUAUUAUCGGGUACCCUAUAACGGGUACCCGUUGAGAUAGAGUCGGAUCAGCGGGUAUCCGUCCCGCCUCGUUUAUCAUUUAAUUUUUUUUAAAAAAAAUGAUUUAUACCAAUUUAAUUUUAUAUUUUACACAUUCAUCUAAGAUUUAAUAAUUUUUUUUCUAAAAAAAGGUUUCCCACUAAAAAACAAGCAUAUGAAGAGAAUAUAAGAUAAUGGAAAAAAAUUAAAAGAAUUCAAAAUCAAUAAAAGUUUGAAAUAAGUAGCACAAUUUUUAAUAUAUAUGUUCCACAUUAAUUAAACUUUUUUCUAUAAAAUAUAAGAUCAUGACCUUUACAAAUGAUUCUUGUAAAUAAACUAUAGUCUCUCAUAUUUGUAAUGCAAUUUGUUCAAUAAAAUUAUUUAUUUAGUUCUAACUUAUUAUUUUAUAGUGUGUGUAUAAAAAUAAAAAUAAAAAUAAAAAUAAUAAAUAUAUAUAUGCGGGGCGGAUCGGGUACCCGCGGGUUUUUAAUUAUGUGACCCUAACCCGCUCCGCAUCUUAGCGGAUACCCGACCCUCUUUUGACCCAAUCAAAUAAUAAAAUCGGAUAUCCUAAUUUUCGGAUCGGAUCGGAUCGGAUAUGACGGGUUUUCGGGUUAGCGGAUAAUUUUGCCCACCCCUAGUCAGUAUUACUUCGUUUGGAUUGACUAUUUUUUCAAAAAUGAUUUUUUUUAAAUACAAUGCUACAAUAAAUACACAAUAAUUCCAAAAAACAUCACAUCCAUACAAUAUAUCAAAUGUUUCAAAAAAAUUUUAUAGUACAAAAUUUUCAUAUAAAUUGUUACAGUAAAUUUUUUUCAAAAUACUCCAAAAAACAGCUAAUCCAAAUGGUGCCCUUUCACAAUUACAAAACUAAGUAGUGGUGUCAAGUUUGUUACACCCUGUAAAACUAAAGAUUCAAGAUGCAAUGAAUAUUUGGUAAAACCUAUGAACUAAUGAACUUAACUACAUGUGAUUUGCUACUUCCCACACCGAAAAUCAGUUCUUUAAUCCUUGCCUAUGUUAAAUGCCGUUCUGACAUUUUUAUUCCUUUUUGUCACAAACUAUGGAAACAUCAGGGCCAGACACAGUUUUCAAGUUUCAACCCGCUGUUACAUACAUACAAAUUCUGGUAUUUGAAAGACCAAGAAAACAAGAAUAUGGAGACGAGCGUCCGUGGUUGAAUACCAUUUUCUGUCAUGAUUGAUAUGUUGUAACAUGUAAACAACAUUUUCCAGAACUACAAUUGCCUUGGGUUUCGUUCUCAUUUAUGCUUCAUACCGUCUUAUUUGUGCUCGUCUUUUCUGGUUUGCUGAAGUUUCAUCACCUAUAAAUACCCUUGAACUGAUUUCCCAAGGCAUAAGAUCACCGACUUCUCUUCUUGAUACUGAAAGGGGAGCAACAAUGGAUUCCUCCUUAGCAUACAUUGUAACACUUGCAGUGAUCCCAGUUUCAAUUGCCUUCAUUUUCUUGAUCGCAAACGAAAUUCGAGCAGCUUGAAGCUUCCUCCAGGAACGUCGGGUGGCCAAUGGUGGGAGAAAGUUUGCAGUUUGCUUUAUUAGGCCCCCAGAAGUUUGUAAAAGAUAGAAUGAAGAAAUAUUCACCAGACGUGUUUCAGACGUCCCUGAUGGGAGAAAAAAUGGCUAUUUUCUGUGGUGCACAAGGCAACAAGUUUCUAUUCACAAACGAGAACAAACUUCUAACCUCAUGGUGGCCUCAGUCCAUGAAAAAAGCUCUGCUUUUCCCUGAAUUUGUUGAGGAUUCUUUAAAGGAAGUAUCAGCUCUGAAGCGUAGUUUCAUGCAUGAUAUUCUCAAGCCUGAAGCUCUGAAGCAAUACAUUCCAGUCAUGGAUGCACUGGCUCGGGAACAUAUCGAACAAGAAUGGGCUCCUCACAAGAAGUUAAAGUCUUCCCUUUGUCAAAAAAAUACACAUUUGAUUUAGCCUGUCGCUUGUUUUUGAGCGUUAUGGAUCCUGAGCACAUCAAGAAACUGGCUGAUCCUUUCCAUCUGGUUACCAAUGGGAUGUUCUCUGUCCCUAUUGAUCUCCCUGGAACAGCUUACAAUGGAGCUAUCAAAGGUGGAAAAAUGGUCCGUGAAGAGCUGUUGAGGGUCAUCAGGGAGAGGAGAAAGGAGCUGAUGGAGAAUAAAGAAACUGCAGCAGCAUGCAAGGACCUUCUGUCGAGAAUGCUACUUGUCACAGAUGAAGAUGGACAAUAUUUGAGUGAAAUGGAAAUCUCCAACAACAUCAUAGGCUUGUUGGUAGCAAGCUAUGAAACUACAAGCACUGCAGUCACCUUUGUGUUGAAGCACCUUGCUGAGCUUCCCCACAUUUACAGAGAGGUUCUCAGAGGUAAAAAUUUCUUGUGCCACUUCCAAACUUUAAUUCUCCUUGUUUUUUCCGUGUAAAGAAUGGUUGAUUGACUAAUUCAGUUUCCAUACACCCAUACAUAUAUAUAUAUAUAUAUAUAUAUAUAUAUAUAUAUAUAUAUAUAUAUAUUCAAAAGGAGAUUAUCGUAUUCAAAUUUAGUGUACUAACUUUUUAAAAUAAGUUAACGGACAUUGAUUAUCGUAUUCAUCACCACAGAACAAAUGGAGGUUGCAAAGACAAAAGGUCCAGACGAAUUGUUGACUUGGGAGGACAUUGAGAAGAUGAAAUAUUCAUGGAAUGUAGCCCGUGAAUCCCUGAGGGUGACGCCGCCAGCUCAGGGAGCUUUCAGGGAAUCUGUUGCUGACUUCACUUAUUCCGGUUUUACGAUUCCAAAAGGAUGGAAGGUAUAUGAGCUGAAAUAUCUAUAUCUAUAUCUAUAUCUACACACACACACACACACAAACACAUAUGUAUAUAUUUAUCCUGCAAUCUUAUUUUCUUCAUGACCGUGAUGAAUACUGAAAAUUCAGCGGCAAUCAAAUUUAUUUGCAGACGUUUUGGACAGUGCACACAACUCACAAAAAUCCCAAGUACUUCCCUGAGCCUGAGAAGUUCGAUCCUUCAAGAUUUGAGGGAAGUGGACCUGCUCCUUACACUUUUGUUCCUUUCGGAGGAGGACCUCGAAUGUGUCCUGGAAAGGAAUAUGCUCGGCUAGAAGUUUUGGUUUUCAUGUACAGAAUCGUGACCCAAUUUCAACUGAAAAAGGCAAUUCCAAAUGAGAAGAUAGUGUACCAUGCAUCUCCUGUGCCCGCGAAUGGGCUUCCCGUCCUUCUCCAGCCUCAUGGGAAAUAGCUUGCAAGCAGUUAUUGGUACCAUGCAUCUCCUGUUCCCGGGAAUGGACUUCCUGUGUCUCCAGCCUCAGGGGAAGAUAGCGUACCAUGCAUCUCAGUGCCCGUGAAUGGGCUUCUUGGUUGAGUUCGAAGUUUGCUUUUUUUUUUUUUUCUUUUUCUAAAGAUUAUUGUGAAAAUUUGUGCAAAUUAUUUCUGCUGUAUCCAUAAACAGACCUGAUAUGUUCGUUCAUUUGAGAAAUGGACUAUAUCUUCAAAAUAAAGUUUGUUAGUCAACUUAGAUAUGUAUUGUAACAGUUCAUUUCUGUAUUCUAGUAUCAUUUUAUCUGUGGUGAAACAGAAAGUAAGACUUCCCCAAGGAGUUAUCAAAGAAUAUUAUAUGUGCAAACAAAGAGAUUAAUGUGUUAUCUUGUUUCUUUAAAGCCAAAUAUGCUGCAUCCUAGAUGGUUGUCAAAAAUAUAGUAUUUUCUUUCUUUCUUUCUUUUUUAGCUAAAAAGUUUCUCUUAUUUUUCAGAAAAUCUCUAUUUACUUCUACAGAAUGUUAUUUUUGUAAUAUAAAAACUGCACCAAAUUGGUUCCAAAUUCUAUGUUCUGCCAUAAAAUGCAAAAAUGUGGCCGUUACCACAUAUUUGAUGUGUAUCUUUUUGAUAAACAAAUUAUAAGCUGACAUAUAACUCCCCUGAGAAGUCUUGUCAUACUUAAUUAGAGAAUGCUACAAUUAGCUAGUUGUCCAAGAACGAUUUACACCUAUCAGGCAACCAGUAUCGAAAGUAAAACUUGAAAUUAUUAACUUCCAUCCAGACAACAUCUAAUGCUUAAAAAAAAGAAGAAAGAAACUAUCCUACGAAAUGUGUUAAACUUGGUUUAAAAUAGUAAUCAAUAAUGGUCCACAGAAGUCAGUGCCUGGUUGUUAAAAAAAACAAAGCAUAGCAUUCUCUUUUGGUUUCUUAGUGAAGGGAACUACUACUAUUUUAAGUCAUUUUUCAUCAAGUAUGAAUUGACAUCUUUCUUGAAAGUAAAACAAAGCUUAGGCAUUUCCUUCUGGUAUUCAUCAUCAAGGUUGUAUAGUUUGACAGGAGAAGAAAAAGGGGCAUAAGUGAAGGUAAAUAAUGGCAUCCCAAGAAGUGGCUGCAGCAAAGGUGGCAUCGAUUUUCAUAUAUCCAAUCAAAUCCUGCCGUGGAAUUUCUGUCUCUGAAGCACCUCUUGCAUCCACUGGUAUGAAUUACACUCUUGUAACUGUACCAACCUUAUCAAUUUCAAGAACAUGCUUUAGUGCUGCUGUUUUUCCUGGUUAUUUUGCAGAGAUGGAUGAAUGGGAGAGGAUGGCCUCAUUGCAUGUUUAUGCUGUAGUUGAAAUUUCUAAAUGUUGCAUCUUUUGUCUGCUGCCAGAUUAAUUCACUUCCUUCUGUUAUUUCAACUCUGGUAUUAUAGAAUUGAGAGAGGGUAGGGUCCUCAUCACCCCACAAAACCAAGCCAGUGUGGUAUUACUGUUAAAACAAAUUUUCUAGCAACUAAGAGCUUAAGAGUUCUUUGUUGUUGACAAAAUAUAAAAAAUUCCAUCAAUUGAAAAAGGAAAAAUUAUUUCUUUGGAAUAUGGCUCAAUGAUCUUCAAUCUGUUAAGUGUGAUGUUGGCAAAGAGAAAAUUUUCUGUGUCAGGUCAAAUUUGCACAAAUAAAUCUUCUAUGGUUCCUUUUCUGUUUCCAUAUUCUAUAGCACUGUAAAUUCUGAGUAGAUGAUCCACACUGUAAAUUCUAUAGCAUUGUGUUCUUGAGUUUUCUUCUCCUAAUUCAGCUGUAUUCUAUUUCGUUAAAGUUCUUGAUAAGAUGGAGUGAAUCAGAUGAUGCAUGCAUUAUCAAUAUCAAACUACUUUUUCGAUCUCUAUGAAAUCUUUAUUCUUUUGAUUUUCAUUUUGAUAAGAUAUUCGAUUCAAAAGUAAAGGUCGUUUUUCUGGCAGAAAUUUGGCUUACUUUUCUUCUGUUUAAAUUUACUUACAGGUUUUAGGUGGGAUAGAUUGUGGAUGGUUGUGAAUUCUAAAGGCAGGGCAUAUAGUCAAAGAGUUGAGCCAAAACUUGCUCUAGUUGAGGUAGAAAUGCCAAUAGAAGCAUUUUCUGAUGUUUGGGAACCAAAUAACAAUUCCAUCUUAGGUGAGUUCUUGAUCACUGAGAAUACAUAUAUAAUACCUCUUGAUUAGGCUGUUUUCAUUCCUCUUUUCUGCCGCCUUCCCCUUGUCCACUCUUGCAAGUUCAACAAGUAAAUUGCUUAAGAUCUUAAUACUCCCUGUUGCUUUCGACCGUCGUUUCUCUUUUUCUGCGCAAUGUGGACCAAAAUGUUAGAACAAUGGCAGAUCACCGAUCGCUUUUUUCCAAUUGGAGUUGUGGUAACAGCUGAGAAAUGAAAGAAACGCCUGGAAAGAAAAUUAAAAAAUUAAAAACAAGAACAGUUUUAAUUCUUUUGUGAUUUCAUUUAGUUCAGAGAGUUGGUUUUGUUCCAUUAAUGCAAGGUAAAAGAAUGAUUGUUUAAAGUAGCUGCAGAUUUAGCUGGUGAUCAAUGUUCUCUUCAUCCAACAGUUGUCAGGGCCACAGGCAUGGAUUUAUUGAAGAUUCCGCUGGCCGAACCAUCUACAAUAGCAGAUGGAGUCUCAAUCUGGGAGUGGGCUGGCGGGGCACUUGAUGAGGGAAAUGAAGCAUCAGAGUGGUUCUCCAGAUUUCUUGGCAAACCAAGUCGGCUAGUGCGUUUUAAUGAAGGUAGCACUCAGUUAGGCAAUGAGAUUUAACUUUCUACCUCUGGGCAAAUGUAUAUGAACUCAUUUUUGGCAACAUAAAAUGCUGAGAGCUAGGCUGCUGCAUACAAAUCAGAAUGAACUUCAGCAUUUGGUUCUUGAUGAACUAACAUUUCUAGUCCUUUUCUGUUAUCUUUGGAUGUUCAAAUUGUCUUUGUUUUCCCUGUGUAAUUUGGCUUCUAUCAUUUCUAGAAAUUUAUUGCAUUACUCUGGUCUCAGAAAUGCACCAAUGUCCAGAAUUAGGACUAUCUUUUGUAUCUAAGGAAUAGAGAUGAUAAUUUUGAGAAAGAGCGAAUUUCAUGUAUGCGUGCUUUAUUACCAAACUCUUGCAUUAUACUUUUUUUUUUCCCCUGGAAGUCUAUUUUCUGAAGCUUAUUUAUUGAAAUCAUGCAUCAUUGAAAUGUAUUUAAGUCACAAAAUGAGACAGUAAUUUGGGUUUUGAUUAAUCAUGCAGCAUCAGAAACCAGGCCUGUCUACUCUGAUCCUGUCCGCAGUUAUAAGAUUAAGUUUAAUGACAUGUAUCCUUUUCUCCUGGCAUCUCAGGUUAGUUAGUGAGACUGGUACAAAUCGAUAUCUGACCAAGUAGAAGUUUUGAUCUAAGAAUUUUUCAUUGGUUGUUCUGCAGGGAUCAUUGGAUGCAUUAAAUGAUCGUCUGGAGGAACCUAUACCCAUGAAUCGGUUUAGACCUAAGUAUAUGCAUGCUCGAACCCCUUGCUCUCCUGCUCUUGUUUGCUUCUUUCAGUUUCCUUUCACUUUCUGAGUAUAUUUGUACUCCUUUUUCCUAUAUGCUUCAUAACCCAUAACCCAUAUUUUACCCAAUGCAGAAGAAUUCAAAAGGCUUCAAAAAUGAUGUUUUUUUUUGUUUUUCAGUAUACUUGUUGAAGGAUGUGAGCCAUUUUCUGAGGAUUUUGGAAGGAGAUCAGCAUAAACAGUUUAACAUUCUAUGCUGGCGAGCUAUGCUACCGCUGUAAGGUAAAAGUAAAACCUCACUUUUCUUCAGUUUUGUUCUUGAUCAGUAUACUCAGAUUUUAUUUGUGAAGACUAAUCAAGUAUAGGUUCUAAUCUGCCCUGAUCAUUUUAGUUGAUUAUCGUGUAACCUUUUCCUUUCUUCCCCCAUCCCAACAAGUCCUCGAUUAGAAAGUAUUUUAGUUUCUUUAUUGCUUUCAGAGAAAGAGAGAGAGGAGUGGCAAAUUGUUGUAAACAAUCUUGCACCUUUUCUCAUUACUGAUCUUGGUAGUGAACUCACUCCAUAAAUUAAGUUUCAGAGGGCUCAAAUAUGUAUCCUGAACCUUUGCCUAGAUAGGAGGCCCUGAGAUAAUGCUGGAGGAUUACCUGCUCUAGAAGUUCACUGCCUCUUAUCAUGCUGCAUAAAAAUUGCUCCAAUCAAAAAGGGGCAAGAAAAAGAUUAAAAAAAAGUGCCAUAAUACAUAUGUUUGCUGUCAAAUCUGUAUUUGCCAUUUCCGUAGCUGUUUGUUUAGUUGAGGUUAGUGUUGCGAAGGUGCACAGAGGAAGUAACAAAAGUAUGCUAUUGCACCUAUAAAGACUUGACAUCUGAAUCUCUCUAUGAGUUUCUAAGCUCAGAAAUCUUGCCUCUUACUAUUUACAGAUACCAAGCAUCAAUCAAGAAACAGCAGUAGCAGGUUCAGAGCCCACGGAGACGCUGAGAAAGUUUCGUUCAGACAAAGUCCUGUGUCCAGAUAAAAAACCACAGGGAGGGUAAGCAUAAACAAAACAUUGUCAUGGUCCUUCUAGAGACCAAAUCCUGAUACUAACUUAGCUCGGAUCUGCAGGUUUACUUUGGAAAAAUGUUAGUUUGCAAAGAUUCACUUACUCAAUGGAAAUCGAAGAAAAUACAAGUGGGAGAUCCUGUUUAUAUUCGCGAAUUAUUACCUUCCUAUAACGAUGCAGCAGCUUGACCUUAAUAUGUUCCAUGUACAGAUUCUGCCCACUUGCCCUGCCUUGAAACCAUGCAAGUAUAAUGGUCAAACAUUUUAUGUUUGCAAAGAUGUGUUUUAAACUGUAACCCUUCGUUAUAUGUUUACCAGUCAAGCUAGUUGUAAAACUUUUCAUCUGAUGUUAAGAAUUAUGUGGUUGGUUUGUGGAACACUUUUCCUCCAUUGUUGGCUCGUAUGUCCCCUGGUAAGGUGAUCAUAAAUUUGAUAUUGAAGAUCAAACCAUCCAAGAUUGUUUAAUAUGGGUUCAUGAGUGAUAAUUGAACUCCAAAAUCAAGUGACAGUUUGCAGCUGAACUCUUGGAUACACAAGCAAAUGAUUCAGUUAUCUGUUCCAUCUUUUUAUAGCCACCAAUUUUGCUGUUUGUAGAUAAUAAAAUGGUAGGGGAUCGAUAGUAUAAACUUCUGAUUUACAAUAUGAUCCUAGACAAAAUAAACAACAGAUGCCUGGUUUAGUGUGCAAAGUUCAACAUUGAAAGAAAAAAUCACUAACACUUCAGGAAAUGCAUGUUACACUAAACAGAAGUUGUAAUGGAACAACAAAAACAUUAAAACCAAAAUUUUUCUGUGUUUCCUUUGAUUUAAUUGCAAUCUACAACCCUGUAAAACCGUUACAUUGAUGUCACAACUCUCGUGCAUUUAGGAUGCUAUGCUAAAUCUUGUGUAAACAUUCACUCUACAGUGUAAAAUCAACUACGUGUUGUUAUGCCCCUCUGGCCUAUGAAUUAAACAGGGAUGGAAGCCCUUGAGUAGGGACUCGUUAUGCAUCAAUUGAAUCACUAUGAAGCCUGCCGAAGCAUCUGCUGGAGUUGAAUGACCUGUUGCUGCUGAUCAGGUGGCAGUGAACUUACUUGCUCAGGUGUUAGAAGAAGCACUUGCUGUAGCAGAGCAGUCUCCACAUCAGGAGGAAGCUGUACCUUGAGAAUGAGAAAACCAAAGUCUUACUACAAUUAAAGAACAAACCAAGCCACCAACAUUCAUGUUGAGAGUCUUAACAACAAAACAUUAAAUGAAAACGAGUUUUCAGAUGGAAUCUAGCCACCCUCACGCAGAUGACUCCCAAGGUAUUUCUGAGAACAUUUUCUUCCUCCUCCAUAACCCUCUAUAUGCUCCACAAAAAUGGUUGCCCUUAGAAUUAUCAGUUUUGCUAAGUCAUAUUUACCUCUUAUUUUCCAAGCACUCAUGCAACAAAAGUGUGUCAUCUGGCUCUGGACUUGGAAAUGCAUCAGAAUUCUUUUCCCAAUCCUCACUCUCCCCUUUUAGCAUCAACAUCAUCCAUCAGUAGACAAACUUAGUCGAUGAAAUAAGCAUUGUUGUUUAAUUUGUUAGUUAAUCAAGUUUUGCAGUUCUAAUCUGCUUGGUUUGUGGAGAAACUUGGUAUUAAUGUUCCAGUGACAAUUUACUGCCUAAAGACUUUAUGAAAAGUUGGUAUUAAAGAUGAGAAUUUAAUCAACUACUGUAUUAAGAAAGUGAGAAAGUUAAGCAAACUACUCAAUAUAUCCAGGGUUAAGUAGAAUGUGGUCAUAUGAAUCUGACAGGAGGACACAGCUGGAAUACACUAUUAAGAACUUACAAGCUUUUGAUCGUAUAACAUUUCUUCAUAUCUCAUCUCCGCUCUGCUGAUCCUCAAAUUGUCAACAGAGAGCAAUCAAACACUAGAUAACAAAUGACACAAAAUGUACAUUUGGUGUUUCUAUCUGUACUUAGCUCAAACGUGUCUGUUUCCAUUAGGGACAAAAUAUCACCAGUAAUCCCCACAAGAGCAAGUACCAUCCUUGAAAUGAUGGAACCUGCGAACAUCUCUCACAAUGAUCUCCCUCUCUACAAUCUUUGAAAUGAAUUUGCAAGCAGCAUGACAAUCAUUGCAAACUCUAAGAUUCUUGGCUACUCGAAUAGUAGUCCCAGGAGGGGUAUUUAGGAGACCAAAGGCCAUUGCUAAUCUCUCACUAUGUCCACACAGCAAAUUCUCUUUCUGCUCUUCAUCAACAUUGUGAAGUACACAGGAAGUAUCAGGCUCAUAACCCUCCUCUUUCAUCUUAUCUGACAGUUCAUCAAUAAAGCUGUAUAGCUGCUCACUUUGUGGGUGUGAUAGGUCUCCAGCCAAGAACUUAUGAACCUCAUCACCAAACUCAAUCCAACUGCACCCAGGUUCUUUUCUCACUCCCUUUUCCUUCAUGUUCUUGCGGACAUUAUUAGCUUUUUCCCAAAGUCCAGCAGAUGAGUAAAUGUUAGAUAGUAAAACAUAGUGGCUAGCAACAUCUGGCUCCAACUGAAUGAGAUUGUUUGCUGAAAUUUCGGCAAGUUCUACAUUUCGGUGGACCCGGCAAGCACCAAGCAUACUGCUCCAAGCCCCUACCUUGUCACAGUGUAUGGGCAUGGAAUUGAUGAGUUGAAGUGCUUCCUCAAGCUGACCAGCUCGACCAAGCAAGUCAAUAACACAUGCAUAGUGGUCCGCUGUAGGUUCAAUCCCAUGAUCUUCUUUCAUUUUAUGAAACAGUUGCCGGCCUUCAUCUACCAACCCAGAAUGACUGCAUGCUGCAAAAAUCGCAAUAAAGGUCACUUCAUUAGGUCUCAGUUCUCCAUUUCUGGAUCCAUCCACUACCAUAACAUUGAAAAGUUCCAAGGCUUCGUUUCCUUUCCCAUGCAUCCCGUAAGCCAUGAUGAUGACAUUCCACGAGAUCAAAUUUCUGGUAGGCAUGCCAUCAAAAAACCUUUUUGCUAAAUCUAGACAUCCACAUUUGGCAUACAUAUCAACCAAGGCACUACCAACAGCAACAUCUGAGGCAAGGGCAUUUCUAAUAGAAUAGGCAUGAAUCUCUUUACCCUUUGAUAGUGUUGAUAAGGCAGCACAACCAGGAAGGACAGUCAUUAGUGAUAUUGAAUUUGGUUUAAUGGGAGUUCCAAGAUUGCCCUCAUGGUUAUCCUUCCAUUCCAUGCUUAUUUCUGCUUCUUGCAUUUGAUGCAUUAGACGAAGUGCAUUUUCAUGGUAUCCACACACUACACAGCCCGUAAUCAUAGUGUUCCAAGAAACAAUAUCUCUACUGUCCAUGAUUGAAAAGAUAUAUUCUGAAACAGUUAUCUUGCCAAUCCUAGAGUACAAGUCCAUCAAUGCAUUUUGCACAUACCGAUCUCUAGCAAAACCUAGUUUUAUUAUAUAUCCAUGAAUGACUUCUUUAUUGGAAAAUGCUUCACAGUGCACGCAAGAUGGCAAGACACUUGCAAUUGUGGUUGGGUUUGGCAGAAGCCCUGGAAUCUCCAUCAUAUCCAUAAAAAGCAUCAAGGCAUUCUCAUAAAAUCCAUUCCGUGCAUAACCAGCAAGCAUGGCAUUCCAAAGCCCAAGCCUCCUCUCUGGAGUACCAUCAAACACUCUCCUCCCACUUUCCACCUGUUUACAAUUGCAAUACAUGUCAACCAAUGCACUUGCCACGAAAGAGUUCUCUACCAAAUCUUCAUUCCUCAGAACAAAUGCAUGAAUUUCCUUCCCAAUGUCAAGUAGCUCUAAAUUAGAACAUGCAGGAAGAAUACUCGAAAGUGUCAUGCCAUCAGGCAUGAACCCCUCAAUUAUCAUCAUUCUGAAGUGCUCCAAUGCCUCAUAAAAUUGACCAUUCUGUUGACAUGCACUUAUAAUGGUAUUCCAUGCAACCACAUCACGAUUAGCAUAAACCUCAAAUACUGCCCUAGAAUCACCAACACUUCCUAGUUUUGCGUACAUAGUCAUCAAAGCAUUCUUGGUAAAAGUCUUGCAAUCAUCCACUCUCAAACUAUACCCAUGAACUUGCUUCCCAAGCUUCAACCCAUCACUACCACCCAAAUUACUACACGCCAGUGCGGCACUCACCAAAGUAAAGGAGCUAGGCUCAGUUCCCUCAUUACCCAUCAAUCUUAACGCUUCUAAUGCCAUUUCCCACUCCUCAAAUUUACACAAAGCAUUAAUCAUCGUAUUCCAAGACACUUGAUCUCUUUCAGGCAUUCCAUCAAAUACCUUGAACACUUCCGACACAUCUCCACAACUCCCGUACAAAUGAAGCAGGGUAUUGGCCACGGUAACUGACGAAUAAUCAUACCCAAGCUUAACAACAGAACCAUGUACCUGCUUUCCAAAAUUCAAGUCGUGAAGACCCGUGGCGGCCUUCAAAACCGCUGGAAAGAUAAAGUUGUCCGGCGUAAUGCCUACAGUGGUCAUCUGAAUGUAGGUGGAAACGGCCUCUUCGAAGCGUUUGGCUUGGGUCAGGGAUCGAAAUUCUUUGCUCCAUGAGGUUAAGGAACGUGCGUGUGAAGUGGGUUUUGGUGGGUUUCCAGUGAUGGUCGGAGGAAAAAGAGUUUUAGUGGUGGUGGUGGAGAGCGGUGGUUGAGGGUAAGUUUUUAUCUGAGAUGGUGGCUUCGGGAUUUGAGUUUGUAGAGAAGAAACGGGGUAGGGAGGCUGAGAAAGAGCUUGUGUGGAUGUACAGGGGAAUGACAUUGGCGGAUAAGGUAGUUAUCACUGUUGAUGCGGCUUCCCUCCCUUGUAGUCGUUUGUUUUGGAUGGUUUAUUAUACUUGCAUGCUUUUAUGGGUUAAAUCACAAUAAGUCCCCCUAAAGUUUGGUGUGUUUAGAAGUUUACCCCUUUACUUUUCUCACUUUAUCCUCUUCGUCAAUUUACCUCAGCAAAUUGGCCGUCAAAACAUUGUAAUUGGCAAAAAUAUCCCUCAUUUUAAUCAUUAAAUUUUUUGAUGAAAAUGGCACUUUUCAUGUUUCAUAAAGAAAUGAACCCCCAGAAGUUAUCAAGUAUGUUUUGGGCAUUUAUCACGUCAAAAAAUUUGCUCUCACUCUUUUGCAAUAUUUGCAACUAAAAUGCCAAGUUUCUUAAACUGCAUUCCCUUGCUCUCUCGUUAGAUGUUGCUUAGCACACCAUAUGAAAAAAAUCCAAUUCAAGAAACCUGUGAAUGUGUUAAAAUAGCCUUGAGAAGAUCUUGGACGUUGAAAAUUUUUCGAAAGGACAUUUCAUGAAUAUUCAAAUUAUAAGGUUUGAUUUUUAUGAUAGGCUAAUUAUUUUUUGUACUUUUUGGAAAACUAAUUUGAAAUACAUAAAAUUUUUAUUUAGAAUCAUCAUGCAUACAAUUACUUUGAAUGGAUAGACUCGAAAUUGUUCGCAGAGGAAGAAAAAUAUAUGCUAUAUCCGACCCAAAUCUAUGGGCAUUUAUAUCUAUUCAUUAUUUUUUAGGGAUAGUAUUGUACUUUUGAUGUCAACUAUCAGCAUUGUCCUUUUGAUGUCAAUGAUCAGCACCGUCACAAAAUGUUGGAGGAGGGGCUGGAACGGUUGUCAGAGAUAAACCGUUCCGGAAGGUUCACGGUCAUGAUUAGGCCAAAAAAUUUUGUGCGGCUCAGAUCAUUCCUUGUAAUUUGAUUUUCACGCCAUGUGGGACCCACAAAAAUAUUGUUCUAGUGUUACUCGCUGUUGUUCUAUUAUUACACCUUGUAUAAAUAAUGUUACACCGUGUGCAAAUGAUGUUACGUCUUUCGGAACGGUUGCUAUCGUUCCAGCCCCGGAUCCCAAAAUGUUUGCUUUGCUAGUCAAGGGGAUAAAAUGAAAAAAAUAAAACAUUAGGAAAUAAACUGCAAAAUAUACUAAACCUUAGGGGGACUCCUUGUGAUCAAUCUGAAUUUUAUUUGCUUGGAUUUUAAACCCAUUUUUUAAUCACCUUUUAUUUGAUUCGAGAUACAUUACAUCAAAAUAGUGUUACAUAUCUUUUCAAAAAAAUUAUCCCAAAUACUCUUCCGUCCAAACCUCAUCCCUGUUAUAUUUAGUAAUUUCUUAUUCAUUUAUAAGGGACAAAUUAAUCAUUUCUUGAUUGCAUUUUUACUUCAAAAGAAAUAAUAAUGUCUUUCCAUUGGAUACAACAUGAACACUCUUGCAUUUCUUUUCACGGUCGUCUCAAUGACAUGUAAUUGAACUUAAACCUAACCGAAUCCAAAGAUAAUUAUGCAGGAAAGUUUAAUUGGCAUAAAUCAAUUCCUUUACUUCUCAAAUUUCUCAUGGACUAUGAAGCAUAAGAUUUUUUGCAUCACCAAUCUAAGAUAGACAUGAACACAUCUUAGUGCAUCAUACUGUGGCACGGAUGGUUUGACAGAUGAAUUGUGAACGUUUUUUUAACAUUUUCUGUACUUGGCAGUAUUGUGAAGACAACCUAAGAUAGGAUUAUUUAUAUUAUCCAACAUCCAUUACUAAAACUUUAGGAUCCUAAAAGUGACAUUCCAUGUCUAUCCAGAAAGAUAAAAAGAGUAGAAUCUCUUUUCAAGAAAAAGGGAAAAAAAUAAAUCUUAUAUAGAUUAAUAUGUACAUCAACGGUGUAUACAUUAUUACGAUUAGAUGAACAAUACAUAUAAAAAAUUUUAUUUUUAAAUUUAAAUUCGAAUUAUGUUUGAUAUAUUAAAUAAUAAAAAUAUAUACUGCCUGUAUAUAAACGAUUAAUUAAAAAAAUGCCAAAAAAGAAGGGGAAUGGAUUCAAUAGAAUCUUGCAGAACUUUUGCAUAGAAUCGGUGAAGGAUAAGAAUCCGCACUCUUUCCACAUUUCUGAACCUGGUCAUCAUCUUUCAUCCUUCCAGCACGGAAUCCCCCAGGCCCCAUCCUCGGAACUAGGGAUGUACGCGAACUGAGAUACUUGCGAGUGACUCGCGAGUAGCUCGAUCAAUGGCUUGGCUCGAAUUCGAGUUGAUCGAGUUCGAACCGAGUUUCGAGUAGCUCAAUUGUCGUUUGAGUUGAGUUUCGAGCCUCAAAUUUUUGGCUCGCGACUUAUCGAGUAGCUCAUCGAGUCGAGGUAUUUAAAUAAUAUAUUUAUAAUUUAAAUAAUAUAUAUGUAUUAUAAUUAUAAAAUGACUAUUAUGGGUAUAGGUUAUACGGAAUUUACAAUAUACUCUUCUUUAUAAUAAAAUUCUAUAAUGGCAAAAAAGUAAUAACAUAAUUGUAAAAUUACCUAAAAAAUUAUCGAGUCGAGUCAAAAAACUUGAUUAGACUCGACUUGAUAAGGCUUAACUAAGGGCUGACCCUUAUCGAGUCGAGUCUCGAGUUUAAAACGAAUUUAUCGAGUCGAGUUUCGAGUAUUAAUUUUUUUGACUCGAUCGAGCUCGAGCUCCCGGGGAUAUAUGAGUCGAAUCGAGCUCCAAUAUUGCUCGACUCGAUUACAUCCUACUCGGGACCACUUGACUACGACCGAUCACUUUCUCGCAUCAAAAUCACAUUUAACAUCCAUCCCUCCAGACAACAAGAAUCCCAGUUAAACUUUCUUUCUAUAUCAUUUUACUGUAGGUUCAGACUUUGGUAGAGACUGAUUGCUACUAUAAAUAUGGAGUCUUGAGCAAGGCAGAUUGCAUCCCAGAACAGCUCUGCUUUAUCCACCAUAAUAUCAGCACCAGCAGCAGACUGGUAGCUAGUAGUUGUUAUUAUAGAGGCACAAAAAUGGCCGAGUAUACAAGAGAAGCAGCUAAAGUUACAUCAAUCUUUGUAUACCCCAUCAAAUCUUGCCGUGGAAUUUCUGUUUUUCGGGCACCCCUUUCUUCCACUGGUAAAAUCAAUCACUCCUCUACAUCUUUUUAAAUUUCAGAUUUUCAUCUUCUUGUCCCUUAAUUGGUCUGGCAUGUGCUUUCAAUUUCUAUCAUGGGUUCUUGGAAUUUCCCCGCCAUGCAUUUGAUUAUAACCUAUUUGUGCUGAAAAAAGAAAAUAGGAUCUUGGAAUUUUGGUCUUCAGUCCAUGCAUGUGUAACUAAAUUCAGUUCAGUUAGAAGAGAAUUUUGGGUUUUUCUUUAGUUAACAAGAAUGAGAACAUUUACUUUCGAAAGGGAUAGAUUAUUGAAAGGACCAUUAACAACCAUCAAGGUUAAGCCCAUAGUUCUGUUGGAUGAUAACCAUGUAAUCUUAGUACUUUAUUGGAUGGUUAAGGUACACGCAAUUUAUAAUUUUUAGCAGCAAUACUAAAUUUUAAUUUUGAAAUGCUAGCCUGGCUUGUCAUCGAUUCUUCACUAACAUGAAACUUGAUUUCAAUUUCACGUUCAGAAUGAUACAAAUUCUUUCCUGCUAAAUUUAUGUUGCAGGGUUUCGAUGGGAUCGACAGUGGUUGGUAGUGAAUUCCAAAGGCAGGGCUUAUACACAGAGACUAGAACCAAAGCUUGCUUUAGUUGAAGUAGAACUGCCAAAUGAAGCAUUCUCUGAUGGUUGGGUUCCAAAUAACAGCUCAUACAUGGGUAAAAGCUCGGACUUCUA